RNAcentral lists this ribosomal RNA (360 nucleotides) under uncultured bacterium. RNAcentral describes it as "bacterial SSU rRNA". It matches the Rfam family "Bacterial small subunit ribosomal RNA", at positions 135 to 507 of the family's 1533-position model. The record is from RNAcentral.
ACUUUGGGAUAACUUCAGGAAACUGGGGCUAAUACCGGAUAGGAGCUCCUGCUGCAUGGUGGGGGUUGGAAAAGUUUUCGGCGGUUGGGGAUGGACUCGCGGCUUAUCAGCUUGUUGGUGGGGUAGUGGCUUACCAAGGCUUUGACGGGUAGCCGGCCUGAGAGGGUGACCGGCCACAUUGGGACUGAGAUACGGCCCAGACUCCUACGGGAGGCAGCAGUGGGGAAUAUUGCACAAUGGGCGGAAGCCUGAUGCAGCAACGCCGCGUGCGGGAUGACGGCCUUCGGGUUGUAAACCGCUUUCGCCUGUGACGAAGCGUGAGUGACGGUAAUGGGUAAAGAAGCACCGGCUAACUACGUG